AAUAGAUACCCUGGUAGUCCAUGCCGUAAACGUUGGGCACUAGGUGUGGGGCUCAUUCCACGAGUUCCGUGCCGCAGCAAACGCAUUAAGUGCCCCGCCUGGGGAGUACGGCCGCAAGGCUAAAACUCAAAGGAAUUGACGGGGGCCCGCACAAGCGGCGGAGCAUGCGGAUUAAUUCGAUGCAACGCGAAGAACCUUACCAAGGCUUGACAUACACCGGAAUCAUGCAGAGAUGUGUGCGUCUUCGGACUGGUGUACAGGUGGUGCAUGGUUGUCGUCAGCUCGUGUCGUGAGAUGUUGGGUUAAGUCCCGCAACGAGCGCAACCCUCGUCCUAUGUUGCCAGCACUUCGGGUGGGGACUCAUAGGAUACUGCCGGGGUCAACUCGGAGGAAGGUGGGGAUGACGUCAAAUCAUCAUGCCCCUUAUGUUUUGGGCUUCACGCAUGCUACAAUGGCCGGUACAAAGGGCUGCGAUACCGCGAGGUGGAGCGAAUCCCAAAAAGCCGGUCUCAGUUCGGAUUGGGU
This 525-nucleotide ribosomal RNA is filed under the name uncultured bacterium. RNAcentral describes it as "bacterial SSU rRNA". It matches the Rfam family "Bacterial small subunit ribosomal RNA", at positions 777 to 1303 of the family's 1533-position model. The record is from RNAcentral.